This 266-nucleotide long non-coding RNA is filed under the name Elaeis guineensis (African oil palm). RNAcentral's name for it is "long non-coding RNA (EGUI_LNC020621)". The record is from RNAcentral. Lineage: Eukaryota; Viridiplantae; Streptophyta; Magnoliopsida; Arecales; Arecaceae.
AUCUCCCAAUCUAAAUCUCCCCCUAAAAAGAAUCCAAUCCAAUUCAAUGUCCCAAAUCCCCUUUCAAAAGUCUAUCAAAACAAAACUUAUGCACAAAACCUAUGAUUAAAUAAGAUAAGUUUGAAGUUAGGAUCGAUUCAAGCAAAACAAGAGAAGAAGAAAAAACUAAUGAUGAGAGAAAAGGAAAAAAACCCUAUGUGAUAGAAUUGAAAACUCGAAAAGGUUUGUUCCUCUUUGGAGAGAGGGAGAGAGUGAGGGAGGGGGAC